AGAGUUUGAUCCUGGCUCAGGACGAACGCUGGCGGCGUGCUUAACACAUGCAAGUCAAGGAGAAAGGAAGUCUUCGGAUUUCCCAGUAAACUGGCGAACGGGUGAGUAACACGUAGGCAACCUGCCUCUGGAUUGGGGAUAACUCUGCUAAAGCGGAGCUAAUACCGGAUAUUGUUUCAUUAUUGCAUAAUAGUGAAAUGAAAGUUGACUUGAUUUAUCAGGUUAAUGUCGAGAGAGGGGCCUGCGCCCCAUUAGCUUGUUGGUGAGGUAACGGCUCACCAAGGCUGCGAUGGGUAGCCGACCUGAGAGGGUGAACGGCCACACUGGGACUGAGAUACGGCCCAGACUCCUACGGGAGGCAGCAGUGAGGAAUAUUGCGCAAUGGCCGAAAGGCUGACGCAGCAACGCCGCGUGGGUGAUGAAGCUCUAAGGAGCGUAAAGCCCUGUUAGGAGGGAAGAACAGCAUUGAUGUAAAUAAUGUCAAUGUUUGACGGUACCUCCAGAGAAAGCCCCGGCUAACUCCGUGCCAGCAGCCGCGGUAAUACGGGGUGGGCAAGCGUUGUCCGGAAUUAUUGGGCGUAAAGAGCGCGUAGGCGGAAAAACAAGUCAGAGGUGAAACCCACAGGCUUAACUUGUGGCCUGCCUUUGAAACUGUUUUUCUUGAGUAUGGAAGAGGAAAGUGGAAUUCCUGGUGUAGCGGUGAAAUGCGUAGAUAUCAGGAAGAACACCGGUAGCGAAGGCGGCUUUCUGGUCCAUAACUGACGCUGAGGCGCGAAAGCGUGGGGAGCAAACAGGAUUAGAUACCCUGGUAGUCCACGCCGUAAACGAUGGGUACUAGGUGUUGGUUUACUAACGUGAAUCAGUGCCGAAGCUAACGCAUUAAGUACCCCGCCUGGGGAGUACGAUCGCAAGGUUGAAACUCAAAGGAAUUGACGGGGGCCCGCACAAGCGGUGGAGCAUGUGGUUUAAUUCGAUGCAACGCGAAGAACCUUACCUGGGCUUGAACUGAAGACGACAAUCACUGAAAGGUGACUUUCCCUUCGGGGACGUCUUUAGAGGUGCUGCAUGGCUGUCGUCAGCUCGUGCCGUGAGGUGUUGGGUUAAGUCCCGCAACGAGCGCAACCCUUGCCCUUAGUUGCCAUCAGAUAAUGCUGGGAACUCUAAGGGGACUGCCCCGGAUAACGGGGAGGAAGGUGGGGAUGACGUCAAGUCCUCAUGGCCCUUACGUCCAGGGCUACACACGUGCUACAAUGGUCGGUACAGCGGGAAGCAAUAUCGCGAGGUGGAGCAAAUCCCUCAAAACCGGCCUCAGUUCGGAUUGUAGUCUGCAACUCGACUACAUGAAGUUGGAAUCGCUAGUAAUCGUGGAUCAGCAUGCCACGGUGAAUACGUUCCCGGGCCUUGUACACACCGCCCGUCACGCCAUGGAAGUCGGUAGCACCCGAAGCCGGUGGCCCAAUCUUUCGAGAAGGGAGCCGUCUAAGGUGAGAUCGAUGACUGGGGCGAAGUCGUAACAAGGUA
RNAcentral lists this ribosomal RNA (1521 nucleotides) under metagenome. RNAcentral describes it as "bacterial SSU rRNA". It matches the Rfam family "Bacterial small subunit ribosomal RNA". The record is from RNAcentral.